GGGUCAGUAGGCUGGUCGUGCCACAGGUACGCACUGGUCUCACUGAUUCCUCCUUCCUGAUGAACCGUAAUGCCAUUAAUUUGGUGUUGCGGGGAGACUGGACUGUUACUUUGAAAAAAUUAGAGUGUUCAAAGCAGGCGUAACUUGCAUUCGAAUAUAUUAGCAUGGGAUAAUAGAAUA
This 180-nucleotide ribosomal RNA is filed under the name uncultured Glomeromycotina. RNAcentral describes it as "partial small subunit ribosomal RNA". Lineage: Eukaryota; Fungi; Glomeromycota. The record is from RNAcentral.